GAAUAUUGGACAAUGGGGGCAACCCUGAUCCAGCAAUGCCGCGUGUGUGAAGAAGGCCUGCGGGUUGUAAAGCACUUUCAGUAGAGAAGAAAAGCCUAAGGUUAAUAACCUUGAGUCUUGACGUAACCUACAGAAGAAGCACCGGCUAACUCCGUGCCAGCCGCCGCGGUAAUACGGAGGGUGCAAGCGUUAAUCGGAAUUACUGGGCGUAAGGCGCACGUAGGUGGUUUGGUAAGUCGGAUGUGAAAGCCCUGGGCUUAACCUGGGAAUUGCAUUCGAUACUGCUUGACUAGAGUAUGGUAGAGGGAAGUGGAAUUUCCGGUGUAGCGGUGAAAUGCGUAGAUAUCGGAAGGAACACCAGUGGCGAAGGCGACUUCCUGGGCCAAUACUGACACUGAGGUGCGAAAGCGUGGGUAGCAAACAAGA
Molecule: ribosomal RNA, 426 nt
Filed under: uncultured bacterium
Lineage: Bacteria
Description: bacterial SSU rRNA
Rfam family: Bacterial small subunit ribosomal RNA
Source: RNAcentral